Molecule: ribosomal RNA, 524 nt
Filed under: uncultured bacterium
Lineage: Bacteria
Description: partial 16S ribosomal RNA
Rfam family: Bacterial small subunit ribosomal RNA
Source: RNAcentral
GACGGACGCUGGCGGCGUGCCUAAUACAUGCAAGUCGAGCGCAGGAAACUGACGGAACUCUUCGGAGGGAAGGCAGUGGAAUGAGCGGCGGACGGGUGAGUAACACGUAAGGAACCUGCCUCAAGGAUUGGGAUAACUCCGAGAAAUCGGAGCUAAUACCGGAUAGUUCAACGGACCGCAUGGUCCGCUGAUGAAAGGCGCUCCGGCGUCACCUUGAGAUGGCCUUGCGGUGCAUUAGCUAGUUGGUGGGGUAACGGCUCACCAAGGCGACGAUGCAUAGCCGACCUGAGAGGGUGAUCGGCCACACUGGGACUGAGACACGGCCCAGACUCCUACGGGAGGCAGCAGUAGGGAAUCUUCCACAAUGGACGAAAGUCUGAUGGAGCAACGCCGCGUGAGUGAUGAAGGUUUUCGGAUCGUAAAACUCUGUUGUAAGGGAAGAACACGUACGAGAGGAAAUGCUCGUACCUUGACGGUACCUUACGAGAAAGCCACGGCUAACUACGUGCCAGCAGCCGCGGUAA